GAUGGAAGUAAAAGUCGUAACAAGGUCUCCGUUGGUGAACCAGCGGAGGGAUCAUU
This 56-nucleotide ribosomal RNA is filed under the name Fusarium equiseti. Its description in RNAcentral is "partial small subunit ribosomal RNA". It matches the Rfam family "Eukaryotic small subunit ribosomal RNA", at positions 1775 to 1830 of the family's 1831-position model. The record is from RNAcentral. Lineage: Eukaryota; Fungi; Ascomycota; Sordariomycetes; Hypocreales; Nectriaceae.